UGGGAACCAAGAGACCGCAAUCGCUACAGUCAGGCUGGCCGCACUAGUAGGCCACAGAGCGUAUAUGUAAAGGGAACUUGUAAUUUUGUUUCUCCAAUGAGAGAUUAAUAAAGUACAUGUUUCCCUAUGUUUAUUUGUGUACUUAGUAGACUGGCACGCCCGCAUUUUUCUUUUCCCCGGCGCAUGAGAGAAAUCCACACUCCUUCUCUUCCCUUCUCACAAAGAGCUUAUAAGGUUUUAGUAGCUCAAGCUUAGUUAAGUUAAGCACUUAGUACUAAACAGCAGCAACACUUGAACCGUGACAUGUCCAGAAAGGAAACAAAACAUGAGACCAGUAUUGAUAGCAUGUCCACGAAGGCCGUCCAAUGGUUUCAGCCACAUCCUAAUAAACCUGCAGCAUUCUUUAGCACCUAAUUAUCAGCAAGAAAUCAAUGGCUAGAUGAGCACCACCACAACAAAUCGGCACUAACACUUGGUCAUCGACGCGAUGCCCAAGCAAGGAACCAGCUCGCACACGCAAGAUGAUGAUUGCAUACAUACAAAUCAUGUGCUGGCAGAAAAAAAUCCAAGCAGGAGCUCAUCUUCUCUCUCUGUUUGGUAACUAACAACCUAAAUAAAAUAAAAUAAAAACAUGACUUGUUCAUACAGGUCCCUCUAAAAUUCCUUGGGACAAAUGCAUCACAUAUUCGUCAACUUAGCAGCAGAAGUAGUGAGCACAUGAAGAGGGGGAGGGAGAUGGAGGAGCUACCUGCCGCGGUCGCAAUGGAAGCAGAGGAGCAGACCCCUCCUGCCCCUCCCCCACGAGCAGGACAGGGUUGCCGGCUGGGCACGCUCCUACUCCUCCGCCUCCUUGAUUAGGAGACCCCCUUCCCCUACUGCUGCUUGGCGCGCCGCAUCACUAGUCACCUCCUCAUGCAAGAAGUACACAAUAAAUAGACAGACGGUCAGUGAGGUACAUUUUCACAGCAACAGAAGCUUAAAAUUAACAGAAAUACAGACAUCAAAUGAAGUCACUAAGAUACUUAAGUCCACCACAUGGUGUAGAAUUCUGUGGUAUAUAAUUGCAACACAUGAACCAAAAGAGGAAUAACAUCAUCACCAAGAGUUUCUGAUGAUAAGCAUAGCUCCCUACAAAAAAGAACUAAGGGCACAGUGACUAAAGCAUGCGGACCACAAUAUUCAAAGCAGAAGCAAGCGGGCAGUAUGAGCUACCUACUGGCAAAGUAUAAAACCUGAAUCGUAUUCGUAUAAAUGAAUCAAGGUGGAUCUAUAGUUUUCAAAUUACUGACCAUUAUAGCUUUCAAACUAUAAGAAGCAAAACAGGGACAUCUCAUCAAUAUUAAACAGGGACAUCUUUUAAAAUCACGCUUUCAAACUAUAAAUAUAGUAGUGCAUAGUACAGAGCAAAACAGGGACAUCUCAUCGCAGCAACAUGAAUAAUUCAGGGCCUACUAUGCAACACAAGGACAUUUCCAUGACACAUAAGAAGUUGAACAUAACACAGAGCAUGGUAAAUGUCAGAGAGCUCAUAUGCUGAACUCAUAAGCAUGUCAAGUCCGCUUGCGGCCUAAACAGGUACCUAGAGGAGGGAGCGGGCAUGCAGACGGGACCUGGAGGGUCAUGGGCGAGCUUGUAUUCCUUGUAAGGAAGUAGCCACCGCUGUCGGCCGCCCUAGUCGACCCGGCCUAGACGCUGCCGAGCGUGUUCUUGCGGCCACUGCACCACCCACAUCCUGAAAAACCAGACACACAACAAAAACAUCAGAUCUGAGUCAUAUAUGCUGCGGACAACCGUGAGAGGAAAAUGGAGGAGUGGAUCUGCGGCCGGCGCUGUCGGGGAAGAAGGUGUCCGACGGCGGCCUUGUUGGGGAGAAGGGAGAGUCGAGGAAGCAUCCAGGCAACAAGGAGGGAUUGGGUCUAGUAGCAGGCAUUGGGGAAGCGGCAAGUCGGAGACGCGGCUGUCUCAGCGCGGUAGAUGUCGGGGAGGAGCCUGUAGAGUCGUCGGAGCCGUGCCGGCAAUGGAGGCGCCGCCGCCCCCAAAACCCUAGAGCCACGGGGAAGGCUGCGGGUGUGCUGCUGCGGGAGGAAGAAGGGGGCGGGUGGCCUAAGGGAGAAGGACCGCCGGG
RNAcentral lists this long non-coding RNA (2125 nucleotides) under Triticum aestivum (bread wheat). Its description in RNAcentral is "long non-coding RNA (TAES_LNC024562)". Lineage: Eukaryota; Viridiplantae; Streptophyta; Magnoliopsida; Poales; Poaceae. The record is from RNAcentral.